UCCGAGUUGUCCCCGGCAGUCCUCUUAGAGUAGGCAACUAAGGACAAGGGUUGCGCUCGUUGCGGGACUUAACCCAACACCUCACGGCACGAGCUGACGACAGCCAUGCAGCAUCUGUGCACGCUCCCUCGCGGGUCCCUUCCCUUUCGGGUUGGUACCACGUGCAUGUCAAGCCGAGGUAAGGUUCUGCGCGUUGCAUCGAAUUAAACCACACGCUCCGCUGCUUGUGCGGGCCCCCGUCAAUUCCUUUGAGGUUUAGCCUUGCGGCCGUAGUCCCCAGGCGGCGGACUUAAUGCGUUAGCUGCGGCGCCGAGGGGGUCGAUACCCCCGACACCUAGUCCGCAUCGUUUACGGCGUGGACUAC
This 364-nucleotide unclassified non-coding RNA is filed under the name uncultured Chloroflexota bacterium. Its description in RNAcentral is "uncultured Chloroflexi bacterium contains 16S-23S intergenic spacer region". Lineage: Bacteria; Bacillati; Chloroflexota. The record is from RNAcentral.